UACGUAGGGUGCAAGCGUUAAUCGGAAUUACUGGGCGUAAAGCGUGCGCAGGCGGUUGUGUAAGACAGAUGUGAAAUCCCCGGGCUCAACCUGGGAACUGCAUUUGUGACUGCACAGCUGGAGUGCGGCAGAGGGGGAUGGAAUUCCGCGUGUAGCAGUGAAAUGCGUAGAUAUGUGGAGGAACACCGAUGGCGAAGGCAGCCCCCUGGGUCAAGAUUGA
RNAcentral lists this ribosomal RNA (220 nucleotides) under uncultured prokaryote. RNAcentral describes it as "partial 16S ribosomal RNA". It matches the Rfam family "Bacterial small subunit ribosomal RNA", at positions 524 to 743 of the family's 1533-position model. The record is from RNAcentral.